Molecule: long non-coding RNA, 1091 nt
Filed under: Actinidia chinensis (golden kiwifruit)
Lineage: Eukaryota; Viridiplantae; Streptophyta; Magnoliopsida; Ericales; Actinidiaceae
Description: long non-coding RNA (ACHI_LNC002881)
Source: RNAcentral
UCAAAAACCAAAUCAAAUAGACGAACUAAGCAUACGUACCUAAGUAUUCAUUGUAUGAAACAUGAAAAUUACUAUAGAACAAAAAGGGCAAAAAAUAGUUGUUCUUUGUUAGAGCAGAGUUGCAGAUAAUAGUCAUAGAUUUCGAUAACAUUCCAUCUAGAAUAACCACAUCACUCAAGCACAAACGGAAAGGGUCCAUGACCAUGCUUCCACCGCUUCUCUGAAUUUUUUCCAAAAUUUUAUCCAAAUUUGUUUGGACCCAGCUUAUGUUCGCAAAAGACGCGGCAUUAAAAUAAUGCAAACGUAUCAUAUCGUUUUGUUCAAGAAUUUAAUUUUCUAAAAAGUUAAAAAUACCCAUUUUAAAAAUCUUAAUUUUCUAAAAUUACCCUUCAAAUAAAAAAAUACUAAUUUUUGCCCAUCUUUUUACAGUUUUUGAUGGGCAAAAAAUGUAUUGAUACCUGUAUAAAUAUUUAUAAAAGUGUAUUUAAAUAUGUGAGAAGUUUGUAUUGACUACCCCUCAUCUUGUUAGAGGGACUGUUUGAAAAUCACUUAAAAGUAAAAAAUAAAAAAUAUCACAGUAAUUCAAAAGCGAAGAGACAAAAGAAAAAUGUUACAAUACUUUGAUAGUCGAUUUUUUAAAUGAAUAAACAUUAUGAGAUAUUAAAAAUGAAAUCGACAAACAAAAUGUGAAUAAACAUUUCAAGUUGUUCUCAUAGGAACACUUGCCAAAUUUGAUUAGUAACCAACUGUUGACAGAGUAAAAAUCCAAUAAAAAGAUGAUUAUCACGCUAUCAAUAACACGUUGUAGGGAAUAGUUUAACUAAAUAGAAGAAUAUUUAGAUAAUUUAACCUGAUUAAAAAAAAGAGAGGAGAGGAGAGGAGAGGAUGAUAAAAACAUACCUGCAUACACAACCCAAGAAUUGAGAGGUUGAUUUGUAGAGAAUGCACUGUGAGAGAGAGAGAAAGGUGGAGUGAAAUGGCUGGGAUGGAGAGGUUGAUUUGUAGUGAUGGUGCACAGAGGGAACUGCUUCUCGGAACAUCCCAUCUCAGAAAAAUGAGAGAGAGAGGACAGAGAGAGGGAGAGUGCUAAC